GAUUAUGAUGCAGCCCAAUUCAAGUUUUGUUUUUGUUUUGCAGUUUUCUAAGGUUGAAUUGCUCCCAAAAGGCUUGGAGAUCCGGUUUCUUUCACAGAAGGGCAAUUGAUUCCCUUCUUCAAAACAACUGAAAUCUAAGGAAAUGCUUGAAUAUUUUUACAUAGCUGUUUAUUCUCACUGAAUUCAGAAGAAGAGGCAGAGAAUAGAAAGAAGCACAAUCUGAUACAGUGCUUGACAGUCAAUCUAUAAGUGGCAGAGGGGCUCAAAUGCCUGUAAUGUAGCAGGGAAAUCUCCCCAUAGUGGCCUUAAUCUGGACGAUAUUCUUCAGUUUAAUAAUUCAUCAAACAUAUCUGUCUUGGGCUGAUUUCGAUAAGAUUGGACAAGGUGGUUUUGGGGUUGUUUUCUAUGCCAAGCUGACAAGCGAGGAUGAUACUAAAAUUGUGACAGCUUCUGGUGAUCAAACUGUUAAGGUAUGGGAUAUCAGGAAAAGAAAUGUACUGCAGUUCUAAUGGGCAAUAUAGUUAUACUAUUUGUUAGUAGGUGGAGUUCUGUUUUGAGCAUAAUGGUGUUGUUCCUGUUUGUUUAAGCAGAUUCUGUAUGCAAGCAAGUCUGCCAUUACCCUGAUCCUGUAACAAGGAAAACAAAAUCUAUUGACCUAUUGAAAGAUGGAAAAGAUCAUUUGGUUAAAGCUUUCAUUUCAA
RNAcentral lists this long non-coding RNA (701 nucleotides) under Rosa chinensis. RNAcentral's name for it is "sRNA RchiOBHm_Chr3g0477791". Lineage: Eukaryota; Viridiplantae; Streptophyta; Magnoliopsida; Rosales; Rosaceae. The record is from RNAcentral.